CGUACCAACUACAUCCUAUGGCGUGCUCAAGCUAGAUCACAAAUCAUGGGAGCCGGUCUAUACGGCUACCUCGACCAAACCACCGAAGAACCCUCCAAAACCAUCAUCACCAAGACCACUGAUGGCAAGGAUCAGGUCGUCAUGAACCCUGCCUAUGCCCCCUGGUUGAUCCAGGAUCAACAAAUCGUAGCAUACCUUCUUAGGAAUCUGUCCAAGGAGGUUCUUGUCUAG
RNAcentral lists this ribosomal RNA (231 nucleotides) under Triticum aestivum (bread wheat). RNAcentral's name for it is "partial small subunit ribosomal RNA". The record is from RNAcentral. Lineage: Eukaryota; Viridiplantae; Streptophyta; Magnoliopsida; Poales; Poaceae.